GCUGCUCACUGUGCAGACUGCAGAGACUCAGUGGAGCUGCUGAAGUCCUCCUCUGUCCACUCCUUCAACUGCAGGUCUGUAAAGUCAGGUGGUUCCAUUAAUGAUGACCGUCUCUUACAAAGUGGACACUCCUGUGUCUGUGUGUCUGUCCAGCACUUGUGCAGACAGUCUUUACAGAAGCUGUGGCUGCAUGACAGGACGAAAGGCUCUUUAAAGAUGUCCCUGCAGAUAGGACAGACCUGGAGGAGAGGAGGACGUGUUCAGCCUGCAGCCGGAGACUGACUGUGUCUGUGCGGGCUGAGAACCAGGAAGUGAGCCGGUUGACUCUGUUAGACUGCAGCGUGGUUCCAAUUACGGAGGAGCCUGUUAGAGAUAUUUAGUGGAGCUUUAAAACUCUGCUCAUUUCUGUGUCACAUAUAGAUUUAGAUUGUCUGUAGGUUCUGACUCGGAGAUGAAAGCGGGUUAAACCCCGUUCCAGUCCGGCGGGGAGGACCGGAGCCUCCGCCUCAGCUCCGCCGCUCCUCAGCUGCUGCUCCUCGGUGUGACCACUUCUGUAAUUUUGUUUAGCAAAACAAGAGUGUGUUCUGUGAUACUGUAGAUAUAGUAAUGUGAUUUGUACAUGAAAUGUGUAAAUCAGUUUGAGAAUCAACAUGAGAAUGUAACUUUGUGGGUUUGUUAAAAGUGCCUUCUGUAAUAUUCUUAUGUGGUGUAAAUUGUAAUAAUCGUGUGAGCUUUAUCACCAAUUAAAAACACACCACCUCCACAACUGUUUCAGAUUUGUAUAAAAAUCAGAUUAGGAAUACAUUAAAAAGCUUAUGAUGUACUAUACCUGGCAAUCACUUCUUGUAUAAGUAAAUGGGUGAGUGACUAAGAAACACUGCUAGACACACAGCCACUUCCACAGAGGGAAAUAAAAAUAUAUCAGUUUCUGUGCCACCCCUGUGUGAGCUAUGGUCUCAGUCUGACAACGCUAUGAACACUGUCUGGCUCCGCCACUGGUUGUAGGAGGUGGUGGAAUUCAAAAUGAAAAAGAAAUAUCGAGAGAAACGUCCGGAAAUAUCCAAUAAAAUCCACCGAGAGAGACGUGACAGUUGAAUUAUCUGCUGACGUGAAACUGAAGUUGGAGAAGAGCAGCAUGGUGUUUGUGUUCAG
RNAcentral lists this long non-coding RNA (1152 nucleotides) under Sparus aurata (gilthead seabream). Its description in RNAcentral is "lncRNA (ENSSAUG00010006789.1)". Lineage: Eukaryota; Metazoa; Chordata; Actinopteri; Spariformes; Sparidae. The record is from RNAcentral.